GACAGAGGUUGGUGACUGCUACAAGGUGGCGUUCCAACCUAGAAUGGGGGAACCAGGCUCGUUGGUCCGACAGAUAACUAUCAUUCUGGAAAAAAAACAGCUGGAAUAAGAAGCUGUACGGGAGCGCGCGAGUGAGGCGGCGCAGGCACGGCUUGGCCACCUCAAGGCGUCAAUCAAGGAAGGGCCGGCUGCGACAGGAGGAGGGAGGCCCCUUGCGCCGGCCGGGCGCUAUAUUCGCCGUUCCCUGGUUCCCCGGUUCCCUUUCCCUCGGUUCUAGAAUCUCUUUCCCCCAAGGGGUGGGAACUGCACCCUCAUGGCCGAGGUAAAGGUGAAGGUGCAGCCGCCUGAUGCAGAUCCGGUCGAAAUCGAAAACAGGAUUAUAGAAUUAUGUCACCAGUUCCCUCAUGGAAUCACAGACCAAGUAAUUCAGAAUGAAAUGCCGCACAUAGAAGCCCAGCAGCGGGCAGUGGCCAUCAAUAGAUUGUUGUCCAUGGGUCAGUUGGAUCUCUUAAGAAGCAAUACAGGCCUUCUGUAUAGAAUAAAGGACUCUCAGAAUGCUGGCCCUGUCUCAUUCUUUUUAAGUAAAAUGAAAGGAUCAGAUAAUCAAGAGAAACUAGUAUAUCAAAUCAUAGAGGAUGCGGGAAAUAAAGGAAUAUGGAGCAGAGAUAUCCGAUACAAAAGCAACUUGCCAUUGACAGAAAUUAACAAAAUUCUAAAGAAUCUAGAAAGUAAAAAGCUUAUCAAAGCUGUUAAGUCUGUGGCAGCCUCUAAAAAGAAGGUGUAUAUGCUCUAUAACCUGCAGCCGGACCGGUCUGUGACUGGAGGAGCCUGGUACAGUGACCAGGAUUUUGAAUCUGAAUUUGUAGAAGUGCUUAACCAACAGUGUUUCAAAUUCUUGCAAACCAAGGCAGAAACGGCAAGAGAAAGCAAACAGAAUCCCGUUAUCCAAAGAAAUAGUUCUUUUGCUUCAUCACAUGAAGUGUGGAAGUAUAUCUGUGAGUUGGGGAUCAGUAAGGUAGAGUUGUCCAUGGAGGAUAUUGAGACCAUCUUGAAUACGCUCAUUUAUGAUGGGAAAGUGGAGAUGACCAUCAUUGCUGCAAAAGAAGGCACUGUUGGCAGUGUGGACGGGCACAUGAAACUAUACAGGGCAGUCAACCCAAUCAUCUCUCCCACGGGAUUGGUCCGGGCCCCCUGUGGACUCUGCCCGGUAUUUGAUGACUGCCACGAAGGUGGUGAGAUUUCCCCAUCGAACUGUAUUUACAUGACAGAGUGGCUUGAAUUUUAAUAGAGAGAUACGAACUUUACUGACAUUUUGCCAAUGAAGUUACAUUGGAAGCAAGUAAUUAAUGACGGAACAUCAGAUUCACUUCAAGGCAAACUUCAAGAUACAGACUCAUUGCUAUGGAAAAGUAUUUUUGAAGACUAAAUUUAUAUUGGUAGUCAACAGAAUAUGCAACAGGUAAGGUUAGUAGUAAAAUCUAUCCUUCAAUAAAUCAAAUAUUUCUGGAAGACCACACUCUGAAACGUCCAAGAUUUUUGAUAAUUCACAGAAAAGGAAGCCAACAUCCCAUAUUCACCAAGUACUGUGAUAAUGACUGGAGCUUUAAAAUGCCCAUUUUAAAGUUAUUUAUUAAGGUCUUCAUUGGGAAUUUUUUAUAUAUGGCUUACUAUUGCCAUUUCUGUUUUGUUUUCUCAGUGGUUUCAUUGAGAAGAACUUAAAAGUGGUGAAGGCAGGAAUAGCAGGGGAGGACACAGCAAACUUAGAGCAUGAGUGGGGGAGAGAGGGGAACAUCCCUUUUCCAGACACUAUUGAUUCCUUUUUUAUGUCAGAACUGUUCUUUCAGAGGAUUAUGUCUCUGUACUUACCUCAAACCCAAAUGACGACCAUUGUCAAGGAAAUGUUUUCAGUGCAUAAACAUUAUUCUAAAGGGAAUAUUUUUACUGCUCCUUCUUUGUUAAAGUCUUACAAGUUUCACUCUGUGGCUCAACUGUAUUAUUUGCUGGAAUUUUCCCCUGGGUUCUUAUUUAAUUAAAAUUAAAACUAAAAAUAA
This is a non-coding RNA of Sus scrofa (pig), 2051 nucleotides long. The record is from RefSeq and is a predicted model, not a curated record. Lineage: Eukaryota; Metazoa; Chordata; Mammalia; Artiodactyla; Suidae.